AGGUCAGGCCUCGGUCCUGGAGAUGCUGGUCAUGGGGUAGGUGGGGUCCUCCUUGUUGUAGAGACCUUUCCAGUGGGCCCUACCUGCCAAAAACACGAAGUAUUUCUCCUCCGACCCCUUUUUUGGGCUGUUUCUACCUCAAAAAGCUCAUGGGAAGCCCACAACUCCCACCCUUCCUUGUUUUUUGGGGGGGAAAGUUCAAGAUUUUGGGGUUCCCCCAUCUAAGGACGUGCCCUCAACCCAUCACCAUCUCCUUGCUGUGCCCCUAAAAUGAUUCCGUACGUCAUUUUUACCGUUUUUAACCCAUUUUUGCUCACCUCUCCUCCUCUGGCAGAAGUAGACGGCCAAGAGCAGCCCCAGGAGGAGCACGGCGGCGGCGGCGGCGCACCCGGCCACCAGCGCGACGGGCGGAGCCGGGGCUGUCC
This is a long non-coding RNA of Oxyura jamaicensis (ruddy duck), 425 nucleotides long. RefSeq lists it as uncharacterized. The record is from RefSeq and is a predicted model, not a curated record. NCBI's taxonomy places the organism in Eukaryota, Metazoa, Chordata, Aves, Anseriformes, Anatidae. The transcript is spliced from 2 exons.